RNAcentral lists this ribosomal RNA (487 nucleotides) under uncultured Thermovirga sp. RNAcentral describes it as "bacterial SSU rRNA". It matches the Rfam family "Bacterial small subunit ribosomal RNA", at positions 903 to 1382 of the family's 1533-position model. The record is from RNAcentral. Lineage: Bacteria; Thermotogati; Synergistota; Synergistia; Synergistales; Thermovirgaceae.
AAAGGAAUUGACGGGGCCCGGCACAAGCGGUGGAGCACGUGGUUUAAUUCGAUGCAAACCGAAGAACCUUACCUGGGUUUGACAUGUGCGUGUUACUGAGGUGAAAGCCGAGGGACCAUAUCUUCGGAUGUGGAGCGUACACAGGUGCUGCAUGGCUGUCGUCAGCUCGUGUCGUGAGAUGUGGGUUAAGUCCCGCAACGAGCGCAACCCUGCAUUCAGUUGCCAACGGUAAGGCCGGGCACUCUGGAUGGACUGCCGGCGACAAGCCGGGGGAAGGUGGGGAUGCCGUCAAGCCAUCAUGGCCCUUAUGUCCAGGGCGACACACGUGCUACAAUGGCCGGCACAGCGGGAAGCGAGGGGGCGACCUUGAGCGGAUCCCUCAAAGCCGGUCUCAGUUCGGAUUGCAGUCUGCAACUCGACUGCAUGAAGUUGGAAUCGCUAGUAAUCGUGGAUCAGCCAAGCCGCGGUGAAUACGUUCCCGGGCCUU